RNAcentral lists this ribosomal RNA (254 nucleotides) under uncultured bacterium. Its description in RNAcentral is "partial 16S ribosomal RNA". It matches the Rfam family "Bacterial small subunit ribosomal RNA", at positions 524 to 776 of the family's 1533-position model. The record is from RNAcentral.
UACGUAGGGUGCGAGCGUUUGUCCGGAAUUAUUGGGCGUAAAGGGCUCGUAGGCGGUUUGUCGCGUCGGGAGUGAAAUCCACUGGCUUAACUGGUGGCUUGCUUUCGAUACGGGCAGACUGGAGGUAUGCAGGGGAGAACGGAAUUCCUGGUGUAGCGGUGAAAUGCGCAGAUAUCAGGAGGAACACCGGUGGCGAAGGCGGUUCUCUGGGCAUUACCUGACGCUGAGGAGCGAAAGUGUGGGGAGCGAACAGG